RNAcentral lists this long non-coding RNA (299 nucleotides) under Cyanistes caeruleus (blue tit). RNAcentral's name for it is "lncRNA (ENSCCEG00000003812.1)". The record is from RNAcentral. Lineage: Eukaryota; Metazoa; Chordata; Aves; Passeriformes; Paridae.
CAGAUUUAUUAUUAUCUCCAGAUGGACUGUUCUGCCUCUUCCCUCAAAACUUUCUCAUGUUACGAGUGACAAUGUGGCCUUAGAAUCUGCAUGUUUGGAAAGUUGGACUGGCAAAAACAACCCCAAAAAACCAAAAGAAAGAGCUCCAAACAUUUAUUCUCAUCAGACCAGCUUGCUGAACCUAUUUGCUUUCCAGGAGGAAGCCAAAAGCUGUACACAAGGUGAUUCUGCUGAGCACAGGAAGAAUGGUGAGAAAUACAGCAGCCCUGGGUGAGAGCACUGAGCUGUGGCACUGGUGA